RNAcentral lists this ribosomal RNA (253 nucleotides) under uncultured bacterium. RNAcentral's name for it is "partial 16S ribosomal RNA". It matches the Rfam family "Bacterial small subunit ribosomal RNA", at positions 524 to 776 of the family's 1533-position model. The record is from RNAcentral.
UACGAAGGGAGCUAGCGUUGUUCGGAAUCACUGGGCGUAAAGCGCACGUAGGCGGAUGUGUCAGUCAGAGGUGAAAUCCCGGAGCUCAACUUCGGAACUGCCUUUGAUACUGAGAGGCUCGAGUCCGGGAGAGGUGAGUGGAACUGCGAGUGUAGAGGUGAAAUUCGUAGAUAUUCGCAAGAACACCAGUGGCGAAGGCGGCUCACUGGCCCGGUACUGACGCUGAGGUGCGAAAGCGUGGGGAGCAAACAGG